GGGGACGUGUAGGAUCCUGGACUGUGUCCCCCGGUGCCCUGGGAUCCAGGACCUGCACCACUGGAAUCGUGCUCCCAGGCAGCGCAACACCCU
RNAcentral lists this microRNA precursor (93 nucleotides) under Canis lupus familiaris (dog). RNAcentral's name for it is "mir-8799 microRNA precursor family". It matches the Rfam family "mir-8799 microRNA precursor family". The record is from Rfam by way of RNAcentral. Lineage: Eukaryota; Metazoa; Chordata; Mammalia; Carnivora; Canidae.